This is a long non-coding RNA of Siniperca chuatsi (mandarin fish), 1706 nucleotides long. RefSeq lists it as uncharacterized. The record is from RefSeq and is a predicted model, not a curated record. NCBI's taxonomy places the organism in Eukaryota, Metazoa, Chordata, Actinopteri, Centrarchiformes, Sinipercidae. The transcript has 3 exons.
AGUUGGUCAAACUGUUCACAAAGAACAUCAGCAAAUACUGCAUGUGGCAAAAACUUUGGACUGCACUUGAGAUAGCUGGGAACUUAUACAAUGUUCAGGACAGGCUGACAGUCAAUUAUCAGCAUCUUUUUCUCCACAGAAUUCAUUUUGUAUAUACAUCCUCAAUUCCAAUUCUGGACUUGAAAAGAAGACCAUUUUUCCAGACAGUGAUUUCCACCAAUAUCUCGUCUCCUGGCGUCUGUGUGUGUUUUUAACAGGCAGACCCAUGGGGCUACAGUCUUGCAAGCCUUGCAACUCGUGCCUACAAAGUAAGGAGGAAUGCAGACCAGCUGGUGGCUGCUUGUGUGUGUGUGACGACUGGAGAUAUUGCUCUGACCGCUGCUGUGACAUCUGCUGCCAGAUGUGUGUGGACGUGUGCUCUGGCUUGUGUUCAGGAGACUGCAGCUACACCUUCUGUACUCUCUGCCUCAGCCUGGCACAGAACUGUGUCUCACUUUUUACCACCCGGCAAACUGAAACAUCAGAGGCACAAUAUUGAUCGACAAGAAUGUACUGAAGAGAUUCUGACUGCUUCCUUCCACAACGACUGUGGAGCCAAGAGCAAUGGCCCUUACAAUAAGCUCAAGCUUAUCGCUGCUAUCAUGGAUGAACAAAAGCUCUCUGAACAAAACAAGCAUUCCUUCUUCUGGGUAACACCCAUGUGAUGGCAGAGACUGUACCCUACUUAACACUCAUGUCACCACCUUUCCAGCCCCAUGCUGCACCUCGUUUCAUGUGGAUGGAUGUAUUUCUUGUGUCUGGAUGUUUUGGUUAGAAAAAAGGACAACUACUUUAUCCAUAUUUUUCAGUACAGGACUCCUAAAGAGACAAACAGGAUUCCCUAACAUCAGCAAAGCCAAAGUGUUGCAUUUUUCACAUCUGGAAGAUUAAACUGAAGUGUGGAAAUGGCCUCAUCCUGGCACACACGCAGUACUUCAAAGCACUCGUUAGAUGUCUGCAAGAUUGUUUUGCACUUUGAGGCAAACAAAAAUAUAAUUUAGUUGCACACAGUGUACAAUCUGAUAUCUUUUUGUGAGAUAAGGGCGCCUGAGGACACAAGGUGCUAUUUGCUUCCACUGAUUUAGACCUUUUUAUUAUCCUCCAUGAAAUUGCUAGUUUACGGAAAUUUGAAUGAUUGAGUGAGCCAUGUCCCAGCAUCGAAAGAAACUUUAGAAUGAGGUCUUACGAGGAAAAUCUAACAACACGGAGAGUGUGAUGGGCUUGGUUGUGUCCCCAACUGUAACCAUCUCUGCUCCUGUUUUCUGCUCCUCCCAGUCCCUCUGGACUCUGCAGUGCAUUCAGUUCAACUCAAAUUCGUAUCCCUCUCAAACUCAGAGGAUAUGCCGAGUGGCCUAGUUUACUCCUUGAACUGACCUUAUCCUCCUGAAAAGUUUGUGUGUUUAUAUUUAUAAUACCUGCAGUAAAUCCUGGGAGUCCAAAACUAUUUGCAUAUACUUCACUCACCUUGACUGAGCAAUUGUCUCUGACUGUGGUUUCAUUGUAUAUAUUUUUUGGCUUAUUUACUUGAAAUACCUAGAAAGUAGAGGAUUGAAAUUGUGCAGCAUUUGUUUUAAUAUCAGGUCCAGGAGCUCUGAUGGGAACUAAAAUUGUUAAAUAUUGUUCACAAAUGUUGCAUUGAGAUCAAUAAAGAUUGGGUACUUAAUUGC